Molecule: ribosomal RNA, 253 nt
Filed under: uncultured bacterium
Lineage: Bacteria
Description: partial 16S ribosomal RNA
Rfam family: Bacterial small subunit ribosomal RNA
Source: RNAcentral
UACGAAGGGGGCUAGCGUUGCUCGGAAUCACUGGGCGUAAAGGGUGCGUAGGCGGGUCUUUAAGUCAGGGGUGAAAUCCUGGAGCUCAACUCCAGAACUGCCUUUGAUACUGAAGAUCUUGAGUUCGGGAGAGGUGAGUGGAACUGCGAGUGUAGAGGUGAAAUUCGUAGAUAUUCGCAAGAACACCAGUGGCGAAGGCGGCUCACUGGCCCGAUACUGACGCUGAGGCUCGAAAGCGUGGGGAGCAAACAGG